UCUCUCCUCUCUCUCUCUCUCUCUCAAUCUUGUCUCUGCAGGGCGCCGGCGGGUGGGGAGGAGGCCGGCGGGGAGCUCCUCCUGCGUGGCCGCGAGCUCCGCGUCAAAGGGUGGUGGGUGCUGCCGGUCAAGGCGUACCACGCCGCGGGGCGGCUGACGGGCGCCGCGUCCGCCAUGCUUGCCGUCGCAACCUGCGGGAUGCCUCUGCAGCAUGGUGCCGUUGCGCGGGGCCAAGCGCCGGAGGAGAAGGCUGCAAUGGCGGCGGCCGCUGUGGCGGGUGGCGCGCCCGGAGCAGAUCGCGAGGCGGACCGACGCCGAUGCCGCGCCGGGGGAGAGCACAGCGCUGCGGGCGCGCUCCUACGGCUGCAUCCGGGUGUUCCUCGUCCUAUCCCUGCUGCUGCUCGCCGUCGAGAUCGCCGCCUACCUCUAGGGGCCUUGCUCCCCCCGCCGCCGCCUACCUCGGCCAGGAGGACAGGGGAGCGCCGUUUUCGUACCCAGCCACCAAUACCCCAUCUUGAAUAUUGAUAUAUACUCUGAAUUUUGAGAGCUUUUGGUGUGUGUUUUUGUUUCAUGGUUGCCCUCUCGAUCUUCAUGGUCAUGGGGCGACUUUGUCCUCCAGCGGAAUCGAUCGAUCCACCCGUCCGUGGCCAUAGCCGCCGUCGCCGGUCAAUACAUCAUCCACGCAAUUGUCCUGCUCCUCUCCCAAGAAAACCACGCAAGCGAGCUCCGCGGAAACCGAUCUCCGCUGCCGACGACAAAAUAGGCGAUUUAGAUGCAAGAUUGGGGAACGGCGGGGAGGAUUCCUGCUCCAUGUUGAUCUUCCGCAGCAGCCGUGACCGCGUCCAUGUCCCCAUCAGCCGCCAUCCCGCCAUCCGGCGGGGACGAGGGUCGCCCUCCUCCUCCCACCACCGCGCUCGCCUCCUGCCCUGUGCCGCGCCGUGCCGUUCCUCAUCGUCGACAGCCUCUCCCGCAACCACGACGGCGCGCCGCAGCGGCGUCGGGGCAGACGGGCAGUUGGGCCUCCCCAUGCUCCCCCUUCGCCUCCCCCCAUGCUCCCACCACCGCCGCCAUCGGCUGCCGCACCUCCUCUCCUGCCUCGCCCCGCCGGCCUCCUCCCCACCUGCCGCUGCCCUGCCCGAAUGAGGUGAAGAGUGAGAGAGAGGAGGAGGUGAGAAAACAGUGAAAAGAGAUUGGUGAUGACGUGGACAGUCUGACAGAUGGGCCCCAUGUGGGUCCCACGCUGACUCAGCCGCCACGGCGGACAAAACCAGGGACAAAAUCACCGAAGGACCUAAAAUGAACGGUUUUGUAAGUUGAGGGAUGUCCUAUAUCUGAUUUUGUGGUUGGAGGAUGAUUUUGAAAUUUGAUGACAAGUUGAGGGACCUUUGGUGUACUUUUUUCUUCCAUAAAUAGAUUUCCACUAUUAGUGCCA
This is a long non-coding RNA of Oryza sativa Japonica Group (Japanese rice), 1432 nucleotides long. RefSeq lists it as uncharacterized. The record is from RefSeq and is a predicted model, not a curated record. Lineage: Eukaryota; Viridiplantae; Streptophyta; Magnoliopsida; Poales; Poaceae.